This 408-nucleotide ribosomal RNA is filed under the name uncultured bacterium. Its description in RNAcentral is "partial 16S ribosomal RNA". It matches the Rfam family "Bacterial small subunit ribosomal RNA", at positions 28 to 526 of the family's 1533-position model. The record is from RNAcentral.
GACGAACGCUGGCGGCGUGCUUAACACAUGCAAGUCGAACGAAGUGGCGAACGGGUGAGUAACGCGUAAUCAACCUGCCCUUCAGCGGGGGACAACAGUUGGACACGACUGCUAAUACCGCAUACUGAAGGAGGGGAUUGCGUCUGAUUCGCUAGUUGGAGGGGUAACGGCCCACCAAGGCGAUGAUCAGUAGCCGGUCUGAGAGGAUGAACGGCAACAUUGGGAAUGAGAAAAGGCCCAGACGCCGACGGGAGGCAGAAGUGGGGAAGCUUCCGCAAUGGACGAAAGUCUGACGGGGCAACGCCGCGUGAGUGAUGACGGCCUUCGGGUUGUAAAGCUCUGUUAAGCGGGACGCGGUACCGGAAUAGAAAGCCACGGCUAACUACGUGCAAGCAGCCGCGAUAAUUC